Molecule: ribosomal RNA, 495 nt
Filed under: Triticum aestivum (bread wheat)
Lineage: Eukaryota; Viridiplantae; Streptophyta; Magnoliopsida; Poales; Poaceae
Description: partial small subunit ribosomal RNA
Source: RNAcentral
AUGGUGGAAGCGCGGAGAUCCCGUGUCCGCGGACGGCUACACGCUCAAGGCAAAGGUGCAGGUGGAGGAGCUCACCAAGGAGCUCGCCGGAGUAAAAAGCAGUCGGUGAAGGCACAUCAAGGCACAAUGAACAAUGAGGGGAAAUCUGAGGCAGUCAAAGCCUACAUUUCUCAUGAGACUUAUCAGGACAAGUAUGAGUGUGUGCUGAAGGCCAAUGGCAAUCUGGAAAAGCAGGUUCUAUCCUUGGAGGAGAAGUACGCGAACGCAACACGAGCGAAUGGCAAGCUGGAGGAGGAGGUUCUGUUCCUCAAGGAGAAGUAUGAGGCAAUGCUUGAGAAAAAUACCAGGCUGGAGGGGCAUGUGGCUGCUCUGUCCACUUCUUUCCUAUCUCUCAAGGAGGGCAUGCAGUUUCUGAAUGAUGGGGAUCAGCAGUUGCAGAUCAUGGGAGCAGAGCCGCGUCUUUCUUCUGUGUGCCAAGGAGUACUGCAAAGCUGA